CGCAGGGGCCAGCGGCUGUGGUUGUCAGCACUGGGUGGUCUCCUUCCAUGUGGAGGUGAACUAGCCAAUGGGAGGAGGUGAGCAACAAGGAAACCAGACAGCUAUGUUUGUGUGUAUGUGUGUACAGUUUAUAAAAGGAAGUGGCAUUGAGUCACCAUUCUCCUAGAAGCAAACAGACCAUGUUCUUAAUGCUGUUAAGGGGAGGGCAAAGAAAACUCCAGGGGUCCUUUUUGUUUACCUUUUAUCAUUCAGAAUAAUAUUAAUAAUAAUAAAUGUUAUUUAUACCCCACCCUCCCCAGCCAAGACCAGGCUCAGGGCGGCUAACAAUAAUAAAAACAAGUUGAUUAAAAUACAAUUUAAAAAACAAGAUUAAAAUACAACAUUAAAACAUUAAGAUACAGCCUCUUCACAGGAGGAGAAAGGAAAAAGAAAGAGAGGGAGGGAAUCAAAUUGGCUCCAAGCCAAAGGCCAGGCGGAACAACUCUGUCUUACAGGCCCUGCAGAAAGAAAUCAGAUCCCGCAGGGCCCUGGUCUCACGAGACAGAGCGUUCCACCAGGCCGGAGCCAGUGUUGAAAAGGCCCUGGCUCUGGUUGAGGCUAAUCUGACAUCCUUAGGGCCCGGGACCUCUAGGGUGUUGCUAUUUAUGGACCUUAAGGUCCUCUGCGGGGCAUACCGGGAGAGGCGGUCCCGUAGGUACGAGGGUCCUAGGCCGUGAAGGGCUUUAAAGGUCAAAACCAGCACCUUAAAUCUGACCCUGUACUCCACCGGGAGCCAGUGCAGCUGGAAAAGUGAGGACCCCGUGAGGAGCCUAGCUGCAGCAUUCUGCACCCGCUGGAGUUUCUGGGACAGCUUCAAGGACAGCCCCACGUAGAGCGAAUUACAGUAGUCAAGCCUGGAGGUGACCGUCGCAUGGAUCACUGUGGCCAGGUUGGGGCGGGAAAGGUAAGGGUCCAACUGUGGAGGAAGGACAUAGCCAUUGGGGCUAGUAACCCCUGAAAGCCUUCUCCUCCAUGAAUUUCUGCUCUUUCACAGCCAUCCAAGAUGGCGGCCAUCACUGCCUCCUGUGGCAGGGAGUUCCAUAGUUUAACAAUGUGCUGUGUGGAAAAGGACUUACUUAGAUCUGUCCCGAAUCUUCCAACAUGCAGCGUCAUUGUCUGUCUGGGGGUCCUAGUGUUAAGGGGGGGGCUUUCCCCUAUCUGCUUUCUUCCUGCCGUGCCUAAUUUUAUAAACAUCCAUCAUAUGGCCUCAUUCCUCCUAGCAGUGUGCACGAUCUCCUAGCAUCGCAGCAGUAAAACUACUCGCACAUUUGCAAAGCUAAGCAGGGUCCAGUAUGGUUCGCGAUUGGAUGGGGGACUGCGUGUUGAGAUUCCUGCGUUGCAGGGGGUUGGACUAGAUGACCCUCAGGGUCGCUUCCAACUAUACAGUUCCACAAUUGAAUGAGAUUUGAUUGCUGCUCCACCUGGGAAUAAUGCCGUUUCCUAUAUCUCAACGCCCUUCAAACGGCAGAUAUAAAGUAAAGGUAAAGGGACCCCUGAACAUUAGGUCCAGUCGUGACCGGCUCUGGGGUUGCGGGGCUCAUCUUGCUUUAUUGGCCGAGGGAGCUUCUGGGUCAUGUGGCCAGCAUGACUAAGCUGCUUCUGGCGAACCAGAGCAGCACACGGAAACGCUGUUUACCUUCCCGCCGGAGCAGUACCUAUUUAUCUACUUGCACUUCGUGCUUUCGAACUGCUAGGUUGGCAGGAGCAGGGACCGAGCAACGGGAGCUCACCCCGUCGCGGGGAUUUGAACCGCUGACCUUCUGAUCGGCAAGUCCUAGGCUCUGUGGUUUAACCCACAGCGCCACCCACGUUCCCAAAUGGCAGAUACCUUCACACAAAGGACUGUCCUCUGCUCACUUCUCAGCUGGAGCUGUUCCCGAACCUUAGAUCUGCUUUUGAAAACAAAAUACUCUCUUUUCCUGCGUCCUAUUUCCCCCCCUCACCCCCCACUUACUUCUCUCCUCCUGCCGCAUGUUAACGGGCCCGUUUCAAAGGAGAUUUGGUUUCGACAGGGGCAACUGCCCGGUAACUGCGAUGACGGCUCCUGGAGAGCUCUCUCGGCCUGCUGUGGCCGUGCAAAGCUGAGAACUUCCAUUUCUCACAUUUCUUCCUCCGCCUCGGACGGCUGUUGGCUUUUCAACGCCUGGGUUUUGAGAGAGCUGCUGCUGUUGCUACAUCAGCCACAACUGUCAGGGUGAGAAACGUCAAUGGCAUGGCUGAGGAAGUCUGAAAGAAUGCAGCUUUGGGAAGACAGACCUUUUGGUUUUAAAGAUAAACUCAAACAGGCCCAAAUGCUUAGGGCAGGGAUGGCAACUUUUUCUAUCCCAAGGUCUGCAUUCACUUGUGGACAACCUUGGAGAGGGUCGCAUAUUACUGGCUAGUAGCAGCUAGGUAAAGGUAAAGGGACCCCUGACCGUUAGGUCCAGUCGCGGACGACUCUGGGGUUGCGGUGCUCAUCUCGCUUUAUUGGCCGAGGGAGCUGGCGUACAGCUUCCGGGUCAUGUGGCCAGCAUGACUAAGCCGCUUCUGGCGAACCAGAGCAGCACACGGAAACGCCGUUGACCUUCCCGCUGGAGCGGUACCUAUUUAUCUACUUGCGCUUGAUGUGCUUUCGAACUGCUAGGUUGGCAGGAGCAGGGACCGAGCAAUAGGAGCUCACCCCGUCACAGGGAUUUGAACCGCCGACCUUCUAAUCGGCAAACCCUAGGCUCUGUGGUUUAACCCAUAGCGCCACCCGCAUCCCAUAGUAGCAGCUAUCAAGAGCCUAUUAUUAUUAUUAUUAUUAUUAUUAUUAUUAUUAUUAUUAUUCAUGCUCCAUCUUUUCCCUGACAGGGACCCAGGAAGCCAUACAGAUAAAAGUAAGAACAGAUAAAAACACAGGAAAAAGCCCAUCAUUAAAAAAAAAAAAAACCCAAUUAAACAUAGAUCUAAUUAAAGCUAUCUAUCUAAUGUACCUUGGAAGUCGAACGGAAUCCAUUCUGGAAGUCCGUUCAACUUCCAAAACAUUCAAAAACCAAAUCACGGCUUCUGAUUGGCUACAGGAAGCUCCUGCAGCCAAUCAGAAGCCAUGAAAGCCCCGUUGGACGUUCAGGUUCCAAAAGAACGUUCACAAACUGGAACAAUCACUUCCGGGUUUGCUGCGUUCCGGAGCCAAAACGUCCGAGUUCCAGGGUGUUCGACAAUCAAGGUAUGACUGUACUAAAACCAUACAAACAAUUACAAUAAUAACAAUAGGACGCUGUCUCUUUCAUUCAAAGCAGUCAGUUCCCAAAAGCCUGUUGGAACAAUGUUUUCACCUGCUGGGUGAAAGACAGCAAGGAGGGAGCCAGUCUGCCUUAUCCAGGGAGGGAGUUUCAAUUUACAGAUCUUCCAUUUGUAUAUUUGUAUGUUUUAAAGCGAUCCAAGUUGGUGGACCUCACUACCCCUGGCAAGAACAAAUUCCAUAGCUUAUCUAUGUGUAGUGUGAAGAAUUUAAAACAUGACAGUCAACGUGAGUAUUUUGUCAAAGGAAAGAGGUGAGUGACACUCUGUGAAACUCAGAAGCUCACCAGGGAAGCGUUUAGGAAGCUGGCCUCCGCUUGAGUGAAAGACUACAGGCCCAGUAGAGAGAUCAGCAAAGCUUCUGAGACUCAGCUACAGGAGAGAGAGAGAAAGGUCAGCAUCCAUCAUCAGUGUUACCCAUAAGGGCCAUGCUCCAUCUCCAUUAUCGGGGACAGUAUUGUUUAUUUUAUUUUAUUUUUAUUUUAUUUUUUGUAAAUAAUUUUUAUUUGAUUUUUCAAGUGUAAAAUUAUAACAGUAUCAAAUAUAGUGGUACCUCUGGUUGCGAAUGGGAUAAUCAUCAUCAUCAUCAUUAUUAUUAUUAUUAUUAUUAUUAUUAUUUAUUAUUUAUACCCUGCCCAGUUUCCCCAGCCACUCUGGGCGGCUCCCAAUCAAGUGUUAAAAACGGUACAGCGUUAAAUAUUAAAAACUUCCCUGAACAGGGCUGCCUUCAGAUGUCUUUUGAAGAUAGGAUAGCUGCUUAUUUCCUUCACAUCUGAAGGGAGGGUGUUCCACAGGGUGGGCGCCACUACCGAGAAGGCCCUCUGUCUGGUUCCCUGUAACCUCACUUCUCGCAAUGAGGGAACCACCAGAAGGCCCUCAGCACUGGAUCUCAGUGUCCAGGCUGAACGAUGGGGGCUCCGUUCUGGAGCAACGUUCACAACCUGAGAGGAACGCUACCCGCAUCUGUGCACACGCAGGUCGCGAUUUUCUGCUUCUGCGCAUGCGCGUGGCAUCAUUUUGUGCGUCUGCGCAUGCGCGAGCGGUGAAACCCGGAAGUAACCCUUUCCGGUACUUCCAGGUCACCACGGGACGCAACCUGAAAAGACGUAACCUGAACCGAACGUAACAAGAGGUAUGACUGUACAAACUCAGAUUUGGAAAUUUCUCUGAAUCUCUAGACUUCCCAUCAUCUCCUCCAUGGGUCCUAGUGUCAACAUUUUCAACUGCAUAUUCUUUCAUCGUCCAUAUUUUAAAUCUAUCCAUAUUGACCAAAGCUCCCAUCAUCCCUGACCAGUUGGUCAUCCUGGGGCCGAAGGGGAGUUGGUGUCCAACCACAGCUGAAGAACCCUCAGAAGCCUUAGUCCUUGUCGUUGCAUUAUUGUGCUCGUCCCGGGGGGGGGGUUACUGUGAGGCGUGGUCAGAGUCCGGUCCUGGGUCGAGGGUCUGGAGAUUGUCCACCAAGGGCGAAGCGGAGUCCAAAGCAAGAAGCCGGGCGUGGUUGGGAACUCCGGAAAAACAGGUCUGGGUGCUGGCAGAAACAGGUUUCCAACGAUGUUGCUCCCACAACCUGGGACUGGGCUGACUGACCUUUAUCUCCUCUGGGGCCUAGGACAGUCCUGGCCCACAGGUGACUCGCCUCUCCUGGCCUGGAGGCGAGCACUCCUCCUGAUAGAACUUAGUUCCCUCUGCCUCUCUGCCCUGAGCCUCUGCAGCUUAGGAGAGGCUGGAGGGUUACUGGACCCAGAGGCCGCCUCACCUUCCCCUGACAGGGCUGGGAGAGGAGCACCUGCAGUCAAUGGGUCCUCAAUCACCCCUGGAGCCAGAGUGGAUUCAUCUGGUGUCUGCUCCUGAGGAUCCGGCACAGGUGCGGGCCCUUCAGAUUCAAGGCCCUGCCCUGGCUCAGCCGGCCCUGGAGGUGGGGACUCCUGUGCAGGCUGGGAUUCCUCCGGUUCAGCCUCUGAAUCAGAUUCCCAGGCCAUCACAAUUAUUUUCUGCAAGGAACACAACAGCAUCUGCAUGGCAGAACGCUUCCCUGGGGGACAAAUAUUAUGCAAAACAGACAUUUGGGUUUGGCAGAUGUUUCUGUUCUAAUGCCUUGUUUUCCCACUGUGCCAUUCACCCUACUUUCAGGUCAAUUAGAAGAAUGGGGGGGGAUUCUAUAGCAAGAAUGGGGAAAUUGUGGCCCUCCAGCUGUUGGUGGACUCCAUAUUGCAUGCUGACUGGAGAACGUACAAUAUUCAGCUGACAGCCACAUACCCUAAAGCCUGUUGUAGAUUAUUCAUAAUGGCUGCAGAAUGUACAAAAUUCAGUUGAGAUAUAUACAUUCCCCAAAGGAGGAUUAUGUAUAUUGACCAGGAAAUGUGCACAAUUCCUUUUCAUAGACAGAUCAUAUGCACAUUCUCUGUGCGGCCAGGGGGAUUUGCACAAUCGCUAGAUGUUGUGCACAUUAAUCACUCAGCUUAUCAGGGACCCUAAAACUGCCAUUUACUCCUUUGGAAAAAAAAAUAAUCACACGAUUGACAGUGACGGGGAGAAAUUGUAUUCAUUUCUCAUUUAAACUUGCCGAAGUAACGCUUUUUGAAACAAUACAUGAACUGAAACCCAGCCACUGUCUCGAAUUUGAGCUUCUCUGAAUUUUGCGGUGCAGUUCUCCAGAAGAAGAAGAGUUUGGAUUUGAUAUCCCGCUUUAUCACUACCCUAAGGAGUCUCAAAGCAGCUAACAAUCGCCUUUCCCUUCCUCCCCCACAACAAACACUCUGUGAGGUGAGUGGGGCUGAGAGACUUCAGAGAAGUGUGACUGGCCCAAGGUCACCCAGCAGCUGCAUGUGGAGGAGCGGGGAAGCGAACCCAGUUCACCAGAUUACGAGUCUACCGCUCUUAACCACUACACCACACUGGCUCCAGCCCAGUAAUAUGUUGAAAAAUGCAUACACUAGGAUAAAGUGUGCAUAUAAAUGCGUAUAAUACUGAGAAUAACAUACAUAAAGGCAUUGGGGGGGAUUUUGCCUUGCAGAAAUGCGUAUAUUUAAGGCAAAAUAGCAUGCAAAAUGUACACUUAGAUGCUGAUAGAUUUUGAUGAGGGCUUUUUUAAAAAAUGCAAAAACGAAUGUGGCAAUAUGGAGAUCUGAACAUAGGAAUUGCAAAAUGAGAAACCGGAAGAAACUGCAAUUGACAGAUCCCUCCAUCCGUAGGCAAUUGUGUGGAUAGGGUCAUACGUCAAUGGCCACCACCGCCGCAUCAUGCCUAAAAAUGUGCAGCCACGGUCAGAUGUGCGCAGGGAGCAUUGAAAUCAUGCAGUUCCUAUCCUUAAAAAAAAAAAGAAAAGAAUUCACUUUUGCAGACAUUCAGGGCUGAAGAAUGCAAUAGAGCUACCUCUUUGGAAAGAUGAACACUCUAUAAACCUUCAGAGGGUCCGAAUCCAGGUCCUUUACGCACAUAAAAUACCAUACCCCCUUCUCCCCACAUUCCCUCCCCCCCCCAAACAUACGCAAAGAAUAGAUUUGGCUAUGAUUGCACCCAGGAAUGAACUGUUUGAUUUUCACCCGUUUCCCCGCAGCCUGCCAAGUAUUUCCUCUCCCUUCCAGAGACUUUUCUUUAAAUCGCAAACAUCUGUUAGAUGACUUGAUUCCCAGUGUGUUCAUAUCAAUGAGUAUCGGGCCUCUAACGCACAGCAGCGAGCCCCCCUCGACUCCACUCCACACACACACUCUCUCUCUCGCCGAUGUGAGCCUCUUCCAGGGAAACUUGCUGCGCACAAAUUGUCCUAUAAACACUUUGGAGGCUUUCAAUAAAGGCUUGCGCAGCCCUCGACCGAUGCUCUUGGAAUGCUGCUCUUCAAGGAGUAAAUGAGGAGCAGGCAUCCCGUGUUCCUUGCCAAAUCCACCACCUUCUCCACCCCCCCCCCCAGUCUUGCUCAGGAUAUCGUGAGCUGCUGUGUCAAGGUGCGGCGCUUGCUCCUUACGCGGUCCAACUCUCCCUACGCAACCAAGCCGCCUCUCUGCCAGUUCCAGCUGCGAAUCGUGGCCAACCCAAGAGACCGUGAGAGUCGAAAUCAGAGCCCCGCUUCUCCAACUGUCGGGCCACAACUUGUGCGGCACAGAAGCACAUUGGAGCAAGCACUGUGGACUGUGAGGGGAGAGACUUUGUCAGGCAAGGCCUCCUUCCACCUGCCUUGCCACAGCCUCUAGUCUCUGCUUCUCAAUUCGUAUUGUUUUAUUAGUGACAGCAGUCACAAAAUUAAAAGAUGCCUGCUUCUUGGGAGAAAAGCAAUGACAAACCUAGACAGCAUCUUAAAAAGCAGAGACAUCACCUUGCCGAUAAAGGCCUGUAUAGUUAAAGCUAUGAUUUUCCCAGUAGUGAUGUAUGGAAGUGAGAGCUGGACCAUAAAGAAGGCUGAUCGCCGAAGAAUGGAUGCUUUUGAAUUCUGGUGCUGGAGGAGACUCUUGAGAGCCCCAUGGACUGCAAGAAGAUCAAACGUAUCCAUUCUGAAGGAAAUCAGCCCUGAGUGCUCACUGGAAGGACAGAUCCUGAAGCUGAGGCUCCAAGACUUUGGCUACCUCACGAGAAGAGAAGACUCCCUGGAAAAGACCCUGAUGUUGGGAAAGAUGGAGGGCGCAAGGAGACAGGGACGAGAGAGGACGAGAUGGUUGGACAGUGUUCUUGAAGCUACCAGCAGGAGUUUGACCAAACUGCGGGAGGCAGUGGAAGACAGGAGUGCCUGGUGUGCUCUGGUUCAUGGGGUCACGAAGAGUCGGACACGACUAAACGACUAAACAACAACAACAAAAUUGGUUAUAGUUUAGAAAUUAUUUAUUGUCUAUGCAGAACUGGCUAAACUGACAUACAAACUGUGAGAUAAGGACAACUGUGAUUUCAAAGAAGAAUGGGAACUUUUUACAAAUUACUUAAAAAGACAACAAAAUGAACUGGACUCCUUGGCAGGUUUUGAAUAAACAUACACAAAUUUAUUGAUUGUUAAUACAGUAGACUGUUAAUAUAAAGAUUUAUACACUUUUACAAUAUGCAGAGAAUAUGUGUGGAGAAAUGAGAGAGAGGAACUGAGGGAAGUCUCUGGGGAGGUGGGGGGAAGGGGGAAAAUAAUGAAUAGGAUAUGUUUAGAUAUGUUGUUAUGUUGAAAUUGCUAAAAAAAAUUAAAAAAAAUAUUUAUUGUAACAGUGGAUUUCUGCUUAACUUUUAUAUGUUGAUUUUUUAUUUUAUACUAUUCUAAUGAUUGUUGAAUGUUACUUUGUUGAUGAAGGUUGCUUAUUUUAAAGUUAUGUUUUAUUAUCACAUUUUUGUAUUGCAUUAGAUGGUUAUAACAUGUACAUUUGUUUCUUUCUUCAGCUUGUAAACCGCCUUGAGUAUUGUAAGAUAGAAAGACGGUAUACAAAUUAAAAAUGAUGGUGAUGAUGAUGCCUUCCUUUUCGGAUCUUUCUGCGAAACGCUGCUACAAGGUUGCAGGGUCCAUUUCAUAGCACUAAUAUCAGAGAUAAGCUCUGCCUGUUGCCUUUUCAACAGCAAGUGGAAGCUUAUCUCUGAUUUAAGUGCUGUGGGACCACAGCACUAAGAUAAGGGACAAGCCUUUGCCUGAUGUCUUUUAAAGAGCAAGCAGAGAUUUAUCUCUGAUCUUAGCACUGUGGGGCAACAGAACUAAGAUUGGAAUCUUAGUUGCCCACGGUGCUAAGAUCAGAGACAGGCCCGACCCUCCUUCCAGCUUGAAAUCUGAAUCACCUGACAUUGUGACAUGAGCCGAUCGACAGGUAGGUGGUUCCACUCACCUGUCAAAAUAUGGUCCACAGUGGAUUGGCGCACAGGCUGAGAAAGUUCCCCUGCAGCCAAGCUGGUGUAAAAAGUAUCACUCUUCUUUCCUUUGGACCACAUCAGCAAGGCCAAGAAGGGGGUCUUGUCAUCUGGGCAGCCCAGGACCUCCAGACACACUGCCCAGGCUUGUGCUCCAGGGACGUCACUUUGGUGGUGCUAACACAGCGGUUCAGCUUCACCCCUGGAGACACACUCCAUUGACUCUCUAGACAGACAGACAUCAACAACAAAGUCAUGCUCAGAGCAGAACUGAGAUUAAUGUACCUGAGAAAGUUAUGUCCAUUCCUCCCAAUGCGUCUACUCUGAGUAGGACUUCACCAAAUACAAUCGCACAUUGGUUCUCAAACGCCUUGGUACUCAAACGUUUUGGCUCCCGAACGCCGCAAACCCGGAAGUAAGUGUUUCUGUUUGCGAACAUUUUUCAGAAGCCAAACAUCCGAUCUGGCCUCCACUUGAAGCUCCUGCAGCCAAUCAGAAGCCGCGCCUUGGUUUACGAACGGUUUUGGGAGUCGAACGGACUCCCGGAAUGGAUUAAGUUCGAGAACCAAGGUGUUGUUGUUGUUGUUUAGUCGUUUAGUCAUGUCUGACUCUUUGUGACCCCCUGGACCAGAGCACGCCAGGCACUCCUGUCUUCCACUGCCUCCCGCAGUUUGUUCAAACUCAUGCUGGUAGCUUUGAGAACACUGUCCCACCAUCUCGUCC
Podarcis lilfordi (Lilford's wall lizard) is the source of this 9822-nucleotide non-coding RNA. NCBI's taxonomy places the organism in Eukaryota, Metazoa, Chordata, Lepidosauria, Squamata, Lacertidae. The record is from the annotation of a GenBank genome assembly.